GAUGAACGCUGGCGGCGUGCUUAACACAUGCAAGUCGAACGAGAAGUGAAGACGGAAACCUUCGGGCGGAAGGCUUUAUUUCGAGUGGCGGACGGGUGAGUAACGCGUGGGUAACCUGCCUCAUACAGGGGGAUAACAGUUGGAAACGACUGUUAAUACCGCAUAAGACCACAGCACCGCAUGGUGCGGGGGUAAAAACUCCGGUGGUAUGAGAUGGACCCGCGUUCGAUUAGCCAGUUGGCGGGGUAACGGCCCACCACAGCGACGAUCGAUAGCCGAUCUGAGAGGAUGACCGGCCACAUUGGGACUGAGACACGGCCCGAACUCCUACGGGAGGCAGCAGUGGGGAAUAUUGCACAAUGGGGGAAACCCUGAUGCAGCGACGCCGCGUGAGUGAAGAAGUAUUGCGGUAUGUAAAGCUCUAUCAGCAGGGAAGAAAAUGACGGUACCUGAGUAAGAAGCCCCGGCUAACUACGUG
Molecule: ribosomal RNA, 478 nt
Filed under: uncultured bacterium
Lineage: Bacteria
Description: partial 16S ribosomal RNA
Rfam family: Bacterial small subunit ribosomal RNA
Source: RNAcentral